CGAAGGGGCUAGCGUUGUUCGGAAUGACUGGGCGUAAAGGGCGCGUAGGCGGCCGAGUAAGUCAGGCGUGAAAGCCCCGGGCUCAACCUGGGAACGGCGCUUGAUACUGUUUGGCUUGAGGACGGGAGAGGAUGGUGGAAUUCCCAGUGUAGAGGUGAAAUUCGUAGAUAUUGGGAAGAACACCGGUGGCGAAGGCGGCCAUCUGGACCGUUUCUGACGCUGAGGCGCGAAAGCGUGGGGAGCAAACAGGAUUAGAUACCCUGGUAGUCCACGCUGUAAACGAUGUGUGCUAGACGUUGGGGGUUAAGCCUCCGGUGUCGCAGCCAACGCGUUAAGCACACCGCCUGGGGAGUACGGCCGCAAGGUUA
Molecule: ribosomal RNA, 368 nt
Filed under: uncultured organism
Description: bacterial SSU rRNA
Rfam family: Bacterial small subunit ribosomal RNA
Source: RNAcentral